CAGUCGAACGGAAAGGCUCCAGCUUGCUGGAGUACUCGAGUGGCGCACUGGUGAGUAACACGUGGGUAAUCUGCCCUGCACUCUGGGAUAAGCCUGGGAAACUGGGUCUAAUACUGGAUAUGACCUUUCUCCUUAUGGGGUUUGGUGGAAAGUUUUUCGGUGUAGGAUGAGCCCGCGGCCUAUCAGCUUGUUGGUGGGGUGAUGGCCUACCAAGGCGACGACGGGUAGCCGGCCUGAGAGGGUGAUCGGCCACAUUGGGACUGAGAUACGGCCCAGACUCCUACGGGAGGCAGCAGUGGGGAAUAUUGCACAAUGGGCGGAAGCCUGAUGCAGCGACGCCGCGUGAGGGAUGACGGCCUUCGGGUUGUAAACCUCUUUCAGCAGGGACGAAGCGUAAGUGACGGUACCUGCAGAAGAAGCACCGGCUAACUACGUGCCAGCAGCCGCGGUAAUACGUAGGGUGCGAGCGUUGUCCGGAAUUACUGGGCGUAAAGAGCUCGUAGGCGGUUUGUCACGUCGUCUGUGAAAUCCUAGGGCUUAACCCUGGACGUGCAGGCGAUACGGGCUGACUUGAGUACUACAGGGGAGACUGGAAUUUCUGGUGUAGCGGUGGAAUGCACAGAUAUCAGGAAGAACACCGAUGGCGAAGGCAGGUCUCUGGGUAGUAACUGACGCUGAGGAGCGAAAGCAUGGGUAGCGAACAGGAUUAGAUACCCUGGUAGUCCAUGCCGUANACGGUGGGCGCUAGGUGUGGGGUUNCUUCCACGGGCUCCGCGCCGUAGCUAACGCAUUAAGCGCCCCGCCUGGGGAGUAC
This 814-nucleotide ribosomal RNA is filed under the name uncultured bacterium. Its description in RNAcentral is "bacterial SSU rRNA". It matches the Rfam family "Bacterial small subunit ribosomal RNA", at positions 59 to 883 of the family's 1533-position model. The record is from RNAcentral.